AAACACUUUUGCUCUCCUGUCCCCUCGGCCAUGUCUUCCCAGCAGCAGCAGAAGAGGGUUCCUGACCAGGACGGCGAGCACGCCAACGGCGCCAAGAGGUCCAGGGCGCUGGCCAUACCCAACGGCGAGGUGAAGCAGGAGCAGCGCGGGCAGGGAGAAGAAGAGGCAGGCCAAGGCGAGCAGGGAGAGGGAGCUUUGGUUGCGGUGGAGCAAGCCAUGGAGGAGCCGCAGAUCAACAUCCGGAUGGCCGUGUCUCAUCUCCACUGCCAUGCCUGCGUCCUGCCCCUCAAACCCCCAACCUUCGAGUGCGAGGCCGGCCACGUCGUGUGCCGCGCCUGUCGUGGCAGCCACGUCCAGGCCUGCGCCGGCGCCGGCACCUAUGUCUCCUGCGCCAAGCUGGACGGGAUCGUGCGCGACGCCAAGGUGGCGUGCGCCUACGAGGCGUUCGGCUGCACGAGCUGGGUCGUCUACUACGAGGCGCCGGACCACCACCGCUCCUGCCGGUUCGCGCCCUGCUCCUGCCCGGCCCCUGGCUGUGGGCACUUCACCUCGCCGGCGAGGCUGGUCGAGCACUUCUUCAGCCACCACGCCUGGAACGUCACCGAGGUCGACUACGCGAAGCCGUGCAAGCUCGCCGUCCCGGGCCCCGAGGACAAGCUGGUCCUGGUGGGCAAGGCGGACGGGUCCGUGUUCCUCGUGUCUCCGUGCGCCUUCGGCGCGGCCACGGCGGCCGUGUCGCUGGUGUGCGUGAGGGCGUGCGGCGACGUGGCUGCGGGGGCACCCCAGUACACGUGUAACCUCUGGGCGGAGGUCGCGGGCAACGCCCUGCUGCUCACGUCUGUGGUGGCCAGCAGCGACCUGGUUGGCGGCUUCCCAGCGACCGACAAGGUCAUGUUCCUGCCACUGCCGCAGCUGCUGUACGACGAGUCCGGCGAGCCGCCUGCCCUCAUGGUCCGCAUCGACAAAGUCGGCGCGUCCACUAUCAGGUCAAGGUCCCCGUGUGCCACUCCGCCGUCGAGCCUGCCCAGGAGGAUGCUGCAGUAAUGAGGAUCGGAAACUAGGCACUAAUUAAUUAGCUUGGUUAGCAGUAAUGCAUACUCCUUCAAUUUUGCAGAGUGUUCGUAGUAGCUGCCUAGCUGGAUGUGGUGGACUGGUGGUUAGUGGUGAGGAUCAUCAGAAUGACAAGAGCAUGGAUUAGUGUGUUCGUGGUAGCUGGAUGUGGUGGUUAGUGGUGAGGUUCAUCAGAAUGUCAAGAGCAUGGAUUAGAGUUUAGUACUACUAGUUCUCAGCAUUUUACUUGGUGUCUAAUUCUAGUUUGGUACUUGAAUGCAAGUAGCUCUACUUAUUUAUGCAACCUAUAAUUCCUCCAAGAUUUGUUCCUUCACAGUUCGUAUUUUGACAUCAAGUGAACUAUGAUCAAAAUUCAAAAGGGUAAUGGCAAUAUCAGACAAUUAGACAUCUUGUAAUCUGUGUGCAAAUAGAUUGGGAUCAUCUGUGCAAGGACAGGGGCGCUGGAGACAGGUUGUACAUUGUAGUCUUGCUGGCACUGCAAGUCUUUGCAAUGGCUCUAUUAUCUUCACCUGGCCCUGGCUGUUGAUCAUGAGAUGUAUGGCUGGCCAGCGUCACUGUGUCAGUGAUGCCUUGCCUUUGAGAUGUAUUGUAGGCAGUAGGCCCGUAUCCUGUUGUCUCGUGCCGAGUUCAGAGUUCUUCUGCAGCCAUGUCUCAUUGGUUUGAAAUUUCUACCUCUGUCGACAAAAGAAAUUUCUAUCAGGUUCAAAUCUUGUGUAUUUCCCUUUUUUAUUAGUGAUUGAUGGAUGCUGUGGACUGAAUCUUUUGUUGUUUGGUAGAAGUACUGCUCUGUGAAACUGAUCAAUACAUUAAUUAGUUUUGUGAAAUUGAUGAUAGAGGAAGACUUUGUCACUCUUACUUGUUACAAGCUAUAUUUCAAUUUGCUGAACAUGGUUUAUCGAAAAAAAUGCAGUGUGUUUUAUUAAAACAAACUCUGUAGGUACAGGUAAUACUUUUUUUUGCAAUAUUUGCAGAAUAGCUGUGAAGUGCAUAAUAUCAGCCGGGUGAGGUCAUGAUUAAUGCAGAUUAUAUUCUAUUCUAUUUUUAUAAUUCAUUUUCAUAAAUUACCUAUCAUGCACAUAAUGGCUUGCUGAUGGUAUCUAAGACACUAAGACUAAGAAGAAUUUCCUCUGCUUAGUGCUGGUUGUAACUGCAUAUUUUACUAUUUGAGUAGUCUUUCCAGUGAGUUUCCUGUUCAGUUCCUUUUACACAUAGCUUGUUAUUCCGUCAGUUUUCUGGGCAAACUUUUUGCUUGCGAUCAGCAUCGGACUGGCCCUUCUUUUAACUGCUAGACAAGCUAAAGAAACCAAAGAGAAUUGGAAGACAACAUACAGGAUGUUGUAUUGAUUAAUACUAAUUAAAUAUGCUGUAGCACCAGUCAUAUGACAACGGAUUGUUCUCUUGUACAUCUGAAAAAUGAAUAAUGGUCGGUUUGCUCAUUGCAGCAACCUCAUAAAUAGUUGCUCCUAAAACAUGCUAUUUUGGCUAUUAAGAUAGACAAGCUGUUAAACUCCUGUGUUGUCUUGAUUGGUGUGUGUCUGGAUUAUUUGGAUUGUCAAUCUUCAGCUGUAGUUCUUGGAGACGUGUCAGUUUGUAUUUGUAAGUGUCUUUGAAUAAUUAUCCUAUAUAUUCUGAAAUGUAGAGUGUCUUCGAAUAAAUGCCCUAUUUCUUGAUGUUGGAUUUUUUUCGUUGCCAGUAGUAGUACUAAUUACUAAAGGAUAUUGCUCAGGUUUUUGAAUAAUUACUAAGAACUCUGUUUUUUAACUUUCCAGGUUAGAAGAAAGAAGAUGCAAGAAGGAGAAGCUGCAAAUUGCAAGAGUCAACACCACAGCUCUUUUUCUGAAAAAAAAUAUAUUUAACAGAAGAGGAAAUGGCUAAGCACAUCAAUCCAUAUGUCAUGCUCAUAUAUGCACUGUCCAAGUUAAUACUAGUAUCUGUUGUAUCUAGGAGUAGUACUGUCUACUUAUGUAUGCUGAUCAAUCAAGAGCUUAUACUCAGUUAUUGGGUGUUAUGUUAUUGAGUUUUUAUAUGCUGACCCCUUCUUGUUAUGCUCUGUUAUUGAGUGUUAUGUGCUAUCAUAAUGUACACUCAAUUACUCAUAUAUUUGGUUUAAAGCAAAUAAUAUCCAUGUUAACAAUUUGGCUUUUUCCUUCUACCUCUAGGCUUUUUUCCCAUCCUCUUCCUUUAUGCCAAUUCUUUUUAGCAUUACAAUAGUUUGGUUCCUCCUUAUGUGCCAUUUCCACCUAGCAAAUACUAGUAGCCUUGUUGUAGAGAGUAUAGCGUAUAGCUUGCAGAAUCCUCAUACAGGAUCUUGAGUUGUUUUUCAGUUCUCUGAAAAUUUGAAAAUUUUUUGGUUUCAGAGAACUGGAGACUACAUAAUUUUAUGUACUGCAUGCUGAAAUAAAGCCAUAUACUGACAUACUAGGAAGCAAUUUGCCUUGUGAUUUGUGAGGGCUGUGAUGUGACGCAUUUUUUGUCCUUUCUAAAUUGUUGGGAGUCAAACUCGACAAUAAUCUGAUAGUAUCAAUGAAUUCAGUAGUUGUCUUCAUUUACACUGCUUUGUUAGGUGAGCAUUACCAGUGAUUACAUUAGUGAUAGCUAGUUUCUUUUUCUUGUUUACAAUAAUCUUGCAUACUGUUAUAAUUGCUCGAUCUAUCAUACUGAUUCCUGUCUCCUGGUUGGUGAUUGAGCUCUUGGUCGGCAGGUACUUCUCCCCUACAGCAGUAGCGGAUAAAAUCACUUGAAGUGAGCAUCUUCCUCCACAUAUCCACUGAUCUUAUGCAUUUAUUAGUUAUAUUACCUUUGAUUUCUGGUAAAUUGUUGGUCUUGCUCGCCUUGUUACCAUAAUUAUUUUGGUUGCCCAGCCAUGGAAGUAGAAUAAAUCUGGGAGCAAUGGGUAAUCUUCAAAUUAUCCGUUGAAAUUGUUCUGUUCUUUCUGUGAUGGCAAGGAUGCAUAUUGGGGAAAAAAUGAUAUAUGGCAUUAUAUAAACUGAACCUUUAUAGUUGCUGCAAUAGCCCGUGCAUAUGUUCUCUGGCUUGCUUUGGCUGGAGCAAUUUAUGAGUGAUGUUUCUGUAGCUGGCUUGUUUGCCGUGUGGACACAACACAGAGAUGUCGUUCUGCUUAGUAAUCUUGGCAAUUCUUCUCUCCCUCCUACCUCUAUAGAAAAGAUUAACAAAAAAAGUCCCUUUGAUUGUUCACAGAAUCCUAGUUUGUCCAAUGUCCAUUAGAUAUUUCUUUUGGCUGCUUCUGUUAUGCAGGAUACAAAAUCUUAGGCUUGUGAAUUUGUGAUGGAUGAUUCAGAUCAGAUACUAUACUUCUGGACUGAUAUCUCUGAACUGAAACAAGUAACCUGCAGAUACAUGGAGAUGAGGUUUUGAAUUGUCGUCUGACAGAAGGAAACAAGGUUGCAAUUUAUGCUACUGUUAGAUUCUAAGACAAACGAAGAUGGAUAUUUAACUUUGGCCAUGAGCAUACUUGUUUGCAACUUUUAAGUAAUCUGUUAAAUUGAUCGUGUAGAGUUUUCUUAUUAGCUAUUGAAAUGCACUCAUACAAACAGUACUAUGUUCAUGUAUGGACAAGUUUUUUUUUAAAAAAAAAAACAGAUUUUUCAGAAUUCAGAGUUAGUACUAUGUUCAUGUAUCAGAGUGUCAAGAGAUGGAUUAGAGUUAAGUACUGCUAGUUCUCAGCAUUUUACUUGGUGUCUGUAAUUCCUCCAAGAUUUGUGCUCCUGUGAAAUUGGUUCGUGCUUUC
Molecule: RNA transcript, 4819 nt
Organism: Sorghum bicolor (sorghum)
Lineage: Eukaryota; Viridiplantae; Streptophyta; Magnoliopsida; Poales; Poaceae
Gene name: E3 ubiquitin-protein ligase SINA-like 10
Exons: 3
Source: RefSeq, a predicted model, not a curated record